GACGAACGCUGGCGGCGUGCUUAACACAUGCAAGUCGAACGGUAAGGCCCUUCGGGGUACACGAGUGGCGAACGGGUGAGUAACACGUGGGUGAUCUGCCCUGCACUUCGGGAUAAGCCUGGGAAACUGGGCCUAAUACCGGAUAGGACUCCGGACUGCAUGGUCUGGGGUGGAAAGCUUUUGCGGUGUGGGAUGGGCCCGCGGCGUACCGGGUUGUGGGGGGGGUGAGGGCCAACCAGGGGGAGGACGGGUAGCCGGCCUGGGAGGGUGACCGGCCACACGGGGACUGGGAUACGGCCCGGACUCCUACGGGGGGAAGCGGUGGGAAAUAUUGCACAAGGGGCGCAAGCCUGAUGCGGGGACGCCGCGGGGGGGAGGACGCCCUUGGGGUUGUAACCUCUUUCAGCAUCGACGAAGCGAAAGUGACGGUAGGUGCAGAAGAAGGACCGGCCAACUACGUGCCAGCAGCCGCCGUAA
RNAcentral lists this ribosomal RNA (477 nucleotides) under uncultured bacterium. RNAcentral's name for it is "partial 16S ribosomal RNA". It matches the Rfam family "Bacterial small subunit ribosomal RNA", at positions 28 to 523 of the family's 1533-position model. The record is from RNAcentral.